GGCGCAGUAGCCAAGUGGUAAGGCACCGGUCUGCAACACCGUUAUUCACCAGUUCAAAUCUGGUCUGCGCCU
This 72-nucleotide transfer RNA is filed under the name Clostridiales bacterium. RNAcentral's name for it is "tRNA-Cys". It matches the Rfam family "tRNA". From Rfam's summary of the family: Transfer RNA (tRNA) molecules are approximately 80 nucleotides in length. Their secondary structure includes four short double-helical elements and three loops (D, anti-codon, and T loops). Lineage: Bacteria; Bacillati; Bacillota; Clostridia; Eubacteriales. The record is from RNAcentral. RNAcentral also lists the same sequence under 2 other names.